RNAcentral lists this transfer RNA (71 nucleotides) under Camelus bactrianus (Bactrian camel). It matches the Rfam family "tRNA". Rfam says of the family: Transfer RNA (tRNA) molecules are approximately 80 nucleotides in length. Their secondary structure includes four short double-helical elements and three loops (D, anti-codon, and T loops). Lineage: Eukaryota; Metazoa; Chordata; Mammalia; Artiodactyla; Camelidae. The record is from Rfam by way of RNAcentral. RNAcentral also lists the same sequence under 1 other name.
AGGGUAUAGCUCAGUGGUAGAGUGCAUGCCUAGCACGCACCACGUCCUGGGUUCAAUCCCCAGUACCUCUA